CCAUAUCAUGCUGAAACAUCAGAUCCCGUACGAUCUUCAAAGUUAGGCAACAUCGAGUUUGGUCAGUAUUUAGGUGGGUGACCGCUUGGGAAUACAAGAUGCU
Molecule: non-coding RNA, 103 nt
Organism: Acanthosepion pharaonis
Lineage: Eukaryota; Metazoa; Mollusca; Cephalopoda; Sepiida; Sepiidae
Source: the annotation of a GenBank genome assembly